This 69-nucleotide transfer RNA is filed under the name Amazona farinosa. RNAcentral describes it as "tRNA-Pro". Lineage: Eukaryota; Metazoa; Chordata; Aves; Psittaciformes; Psittacidae. The record is from RNAcentral.
UCAGAAAAAGAGGACUAAACCUCCAUCACCAGCUCCCAAAGCUGGCGUUUUAAAUUAAACUAUUUCCUG